Apodemus sylvaticus (European woodmouse) is the source of this 1910-nucleotide long non-coding RNA. RefSeq lists it as uncharacterized. The transcript is spliced from 2 exons. The record is from RefSeq and is a predicted model, not a curated record. NCBI's taxonomy places the organism in Eukaryota, Metazoa, Chordata, Mammalia, Rodentia, Muridae.
UGUCUGUUGUCUCCACAGCCGCUUGGGCCCCCACGGCACAGCCUCAGUAGCCUGGCCUUUCUUUGGCAGCUUCCCUUCUCAGGGUCUGUGCUUAGGAGAGUCCCUGACCAGAUCCUGGGCUGCCCCCAACAGACGCUGCGUCUCCUCCAUCGGACCCUCCCCUCCGGUGCUGCAGGAACCAACGGACGGACGGACGGCCAGCCACGCAUGGACUUCCCCAGUAGCCAGGCAGUACUCGGUGGCUGUAACGGACAGGCUGGCAUUUCUCUCCGGGUCGGCCCCACCAGAGCCUGAGAAUUCGACUCGGUAGGAUUCAUCUGUCUCUCCGUGUCACUGACACUUUCCUGGCUUUGGCCCAGAGCUUCCACGCUGCAGGAAGCCACCGGACCCUUUGUGGCCAUCUGCCCCUGUCAAUCUCCCUCCUCCUCGGGGACCGCCAAUCACGCUGCGGGCUCUUUAUUUCCUUAUCAGUAGCCAAUCAAUGUGGCUCUCUAACGGCCUCCACAGUGCCUUGGGCUGCUGGGCAUUGUGGGGUACCCUACUCUGCACUCUCAGAGCCAGCCAACAAGGUUGUCUUCUCCCCCUGCCUCAGCGUCCCUCUCUGUAAAAUGGGUCUCUGGGAUACCCAAAGGGCUCAGCUAAGUACCCUCCAGGCGUCAAGCUGCACACCUCUGGCAUACUCCCAAGACCUCAGCUUGCCUGUCAAGGUAGCUAAUGGUCUCUUCUAAUGAUUGAUGUAUUUUUAUGUGACUGAUUGUGUUUUGCCUGUGUAAGGGUGUUGGAUCCCCUGGAACAGGAGUUACAAUUGUUAAGCUGUCACAUGGAUGCUGGGAAUUGAACCUAGGUCCUCUGGAAAAGCAGUUGUGGUUGGUGGUUUGUAUAUGCUUGGCCCAGUGAGUGGCAAUGUUAGAAGGUGUGGCCAUGCCAGGCAGUGGUGGCGCACGCCUUUGAUCCCAGCACUUGGGAGGCAGAGGCAGGCGGAUUUCUGAGUUCAAGGCCAGCCUGGUCUACAGAGUGAGUUCCAGGCCAGUCAGGGCUACACAGAGAAACCCUGUCUGGGGGGGGGCAGGGAGGAGGUGUGGCCUUGAUGGAGGAAGUGUGUCAUUGUAGGGUGGGCUCUGAGACCCUCCUCCUAGCUGCCUGAGGACAGUCUGCUCCUGGCUUCCUUUGGAUGAAGAUGUAGAACUCUCAGCUCCUCCUGUGCCAUGCCUCCUGCCAAGGCAAGGCUGGGGCGCCAGCAAGUGCAGAGGAUCCCCUUGUCUCUGCGCUUCCCAGAAGCCCGGGGUGGGUGUACACCGUUGCGCCCAACUCACACAUGAGUGCUAGGCAAUCAAACUGAUCGAGCUUGCCCACACACAGCGUUACCUGCUGAGCCCGCUAGCCUGCAGCCGGAAAGGUUCAGGAAUCAGUGCUCAGCCGUGUCUCAGUCCAGAGUUACUACAGCAUGUGCCGGAGCCGAGACCCACCCGAGAGCCUGCCCACUGCCAACCAGUGCUGCCUCCCUCGCAGCAGGCUCUCCACCCGCUCCUGAGUCCACUUCCUCAGUGAGACACACACCGGGCCGCAGACUUGAUGUUACUUUAUUUUCCAGUUCAAAGCUACUAUCAUGGGUCUUCAGAGUUAUACAAAUGACAGUUACAAAAAAUAAAAGACCGAGACACCCAGAGUGAGAUGCAUGAUGUGGGGGAGUCGGUGGAAUGGGGGGUACUUGGGAAAGGGCCCCCUGAGGUUUUACUCCAGGGCUCCCAGGGAGGGACACAUCUGGCUUUCUCCCGCCCAGGAGCCCCGAGGUGUCUGGGAAGACGGGGAGCACCAAUCACAGAGCCAGGGCUGGGGUGGACAGGCAGGAGGGAGGGAGGGAAUCCCCUGGGGAGGCAGGGACAGGUGCCAAGCAUCUCCCCCCCCAAAAC